CUAUUGUUUUUUGUUUCACAAGUGAGCAUAAAUGACUAGUUUUCCAUACUUGUUUAUUGUGAAAACACCUGAUGUAUGAAUGAUGGGGUUGUUUCUGCUUGCCACCCAUACCACUGUUUGUUUAGAUAUCUUACACAUGGAAUACCAAAUCCCAACAUAGUGGUAGCUACAGUUACUGGGGGCUGAAGAAACCCAAUUCAAAGUUGUUUCCUUUGGACACUAAAAGGGUCCCCAUCUUUACUUGUUGUUCAUUCCAUGUUGUGGUGUCCUUGGAAGUGCACAGUUGGAAAAGGAGGAUGAGAGGCAAAGCUUUCAGUGACACUUUCUGGGAAUUUGCAGAACAUUGUGGUCUUCAUCAAUGUGAACCGGAAGGAAGGAACAUCUAGCUAAGAAAAAGCUCCAUUUUUGGUGGAACUGGUUAUGAAAGCUCAGAUGUAAUGGUGAUAUAUGAGGUUGAGAGGCAGAGACAUCAACAGCUUGAGAAACUGUAUAGGUCUACUCGUGCAGGAAAGGAUUUUCAUAAAGAAAUUGCACAUGCAGCUGAAGCAUUGACAACAAUAGGACAUAAGCAUAUUGAAGCAGGUAAAUGUACGGGUGGCUUUGUUAGAAGGGAAUUAAUGGAAUCUAUUUUGAAACAGAUUGAGAACCGGGAACGAUCAUUCACCCAAACAAAUGGAAUGAACAACCUCAAAUUAAAAGGUAGGAAUGUCCAUUUU
Rosa rugosa (rugosa rose) is the source of this 716-nucleotide long non-coding RNA. RefSeq lists it as uncharacterized. The record is from RefSeq and is a predicted model, not a curated record. NCBI's taxonomy places the organism in Eukaryota, Viridiplantae, Streptophyta, Magnoliopsida, Rosales, Rosaceae. The transcript has 5 exons.